Molecule: ribosomal RNA, 468 nt
Filed under: uncultured bacterium
Lineage: Bacteria
Description: partial 16S ribosomal RNA
Rfam family: Bacterial small subunit ribosomal RNA
Source: RNAcentral
GACGAACGCUGGCGGCGUGCUUAACACAUGCAAGUCGAACGGAAAGGCCCUGCUUUUGUGGGGUGCUCGAGUGGCGAACGGGUGAGUAACACGUGAGUAACCUGCCCUUGACUUUGGGAUAACUUCAGGAAACUGGGGCUAAUACCGGAUAGGAGCUCCUGCUGCAUGGUGGGGGUUGGAAAGUUUCGGCGGCUGGGGAUGGACUCGCGGCUUAUCAGCUUGUUGGUGGGGUAGUGGCUUACCAAGGCUUUGACGGGUAGCCGGCCUGAGAGGGUGACCGGCCACAUUGGGACUGAGAUACGGCCCAGACUCCUACGGGAGGCAGCAGUGGGGAAUAUUGCACAAUGGGCGGAAGCCUGAUGCAGCAACGCCGCGUGCGGGAUGACGGCCUUCGGGUUGUAAACCGCUUUCGCCUGUGACGAAGCGUGAGUGACGGUAAUGGGUAAAGAAGCGCCGGCUAACUACGUG